RNAcentral lists this transfer RNA (62 nucleotides) under Ictidomys tridecemlineatus (thirteen-lined ground squirrel). RNAcentral's name for it is "Spermophilus tridecemlineatus (thirteen-lined ground squirrel) tRNA". It matches the Rfam family "tRNA", at positions 1 to 61 of the family's 71-position model. Rfam says of the family: Transfer RNA (tRNA) molecules are approximately 80 nucleotides in length. Their secondary structure includes four short double-helical elements and three loops (D, anti-codon, and T loops). Lineage: Eukaryota; Metazoa; Chordata; Mammalia; Rodentia; Sciuridae. The record is from Rfam by way of RNAcentral.
GGGGUUGUGGCUCAGAGGUAGAGUGCUUGCCUGGUAUGCAUGAGGCACUGGGUUCAAUCCUC